GGUCCACCCGAUCCCAUCCCGAACUCGGCAGUUAAGCGCUCCAGCGCCGAUGGUACCUCGCGCGAGCGGGGGAGAGUAGGUCAGUGCCGAGA
This 92-nucleotide ribosomal RNA is filed under the name Candidatus Moraniibacteriota bacterium. The record is from RNAcentral. Lineage: Bacteria; Candidatus Moraniibacteriota.